AGCUAUUGAUUUGGAUGCAAUUGAGAGAUAAAACCUCACAAAUUUACAGAAGUUUAAGAGAGAAGCGGACUGAGAGAGUGCUCCAUGACUUCAGGAACUUCCGGAAGCAAACUUUCUUACAUUGCUUCUAAUGUUCUCUACUGACAAGUGAACUGAGAAGAGGAAAGAUAAAAUGUAAAGGUCCAAAUGCGUUUCCACAGAGCAGUCAGUAAGGGUGACUUUUGGAGAGGACAACCAAGAAACUGAUGAACUAGCAUACAUUUUCUGGACUCAGUAGACUGAAGAGCAGCGGCUGUCCAGGACUCCAGUGCCACAUUGGGACUUCUGAGACAUCGAGCCUUGUGUAUUGAACAACUACCAGAAUCUUGGCCUUUCUAUCACAAGCUAGUCAUUGUUGGAUUACCAACCUAGACUGCAUCCUGACUACCCUAAUACACUUUUGUUCCUAAACUUGGAAAGGAGUUCUCAUCUUGAGAUUUCUUGCAUAGUCAGUCUUUCUUUCCUACUGACAUUUAUAUUUAUUUCCUUAUUUAUGUAGAGACAACCUGGAGCUUCCUAUCAUCCAGCUUCUUCCUCUUAAGUGAUUGCAUUACAAAACUUUAUGUAAUAAACAUGUGUCACAAUGCCC
Molecule: long non-coding RNA, 628 nt
Organism: Peromyscus maniculatus bairdii (prairie deer mouse)
Lineage: Eukaryota; Metazoa; Chordata; Mammalia; Rodentia; Cricetidae
Source: RefSeq, a predicted model, not a curated record